Molecule: ribosomal RNA, 233 nt
Filed under: uncultured bacterium
Lineage: Bacteria
Description: partial 16S ribosomal RNA
Rfam family: Bacterial small subunit ribosomal RNA
Source: RNAcentral
UACGUAGGGUGCAAGCGUAAUCGGAAUUACUGGGCGUAAAGCGUGCGCAGGCGGUUAUGUAAGACAGGUGUGAAAUCCCCGGGCUCAACCUGGGAAUGGCAGUGGAUACUGGAUCGCUAGAGUGUGAUAGAGGAUGGUGGAAUUCCCGGUGUAGCGGUGAAAUGCGUAGAUAUGCGGAGGAACACCGAUGGCGAAGGCAAUCCCCUGGACCUGUACUGACGCUCAUGCACGAA